CAGCAGCCACGGGAAUACGUAGGGUGCGAGCGUUAAUCGGAAUUACUGGGCGUAAAGCGGGCGCAGACGGUUACUUAAGCAGGAUGUGAUAUCCCCGGGCUCAACCUGGGAACUGCGUUCUGAACUGGGUGACUAGAGUGUGUCAGAGGGAGGUAGAAUACCACGUGUAGCAGUGAAAUGCGUAGAGAUGUGGAGGAAUACCGAUGGCGAAGGCAGCCUCCUGGGAUAACACUGACGUUCAUGCCCGAAAGCGUGGGUAGCAAACAGGAUUAGAUACCCCCGUAGUCCCUGUCUCUUAUAC
This 301-nucleotide ribosomal RNA is filed under the name uncultured bacterium. Its description in RNAcentral is "partial 16S ribosomal RNA". It matches the Rfam family "Bacterial small subunit ribosomal RNA", at positions 509 to 807 of the family's 1533-position model. The record is from RNAcentral.